This 321-nucleotide long non-coding RNA is filed under the name Mytilus galloprovincialis (Mediterranean mussel). The record is from RNAcentral. Lineage: Eukaryota; Metazoa; Mollusca; Bivalvia; Mytilida; Mytilidae.
AUAAAAGUCAGGUUAUCUUUGUGAAUCAUACAUAGUGAAGCAGUUGUGACGAUUGUGUAUUGUGAUUUGCAAAUAAAAACUUUUAUGUGACAUCUGUUGUCGAAGAAGAUAAUCUAGAUUUCAAUGUAAAUGUAGAGAACUAAAUUUCACAUGUUUGUCCUUGAAUUAGACUAAUGAAAAAAUGAAACGGAAGGAUAUAUUUACUGCAUAACAUAAUUUUUUUUAAGUGGAUUAAGUGACCAAAGUAAAGUAUUUGGUCAUCACCUUUUCAAGUAGCGAUAUCCUGUAUUGAAAGUUGAUACUGUAUUACUAUGGUCAAAG